Molecule: long non-coding RNA, 451 nt
Organism: Lolium rigidum
Lineage: Eukaryota; Viridiplantae; Streptophyta; Magnoliopsida; Poales; Poaceae
Exons: 2
Source: RefSeq, a predicted model, not a curated record
CGCAGCAGCUCGCCCCAUCACCCUCCGUCGCAGCAGCUCGCCUCGUCGCCCUCCGUCGCAGCAGCUCGCCUCGUCUCCCUCAGCUCUCCCUCCCCUGACUUCUCCACAUCUUCGCUGCCGUGCAUCUCCACAGACGCUUGCUCAAGAAAUGGCUGCAUUUGAAAUGACUUCACUGUAUGCUUGAUCAUGGCAGUUUGUUGCCCAGAUGUGGAGGACCCCUUUCGUCGCGAUGAUGCUUGCCGCCACCGCCUCUCUAGUCUACUAUGUCAUUGUUGUUUAGCUAGGUCGUCGACUGAACUUAUAUGUAUUUGUAUAAUAUGUGCUACUUCGAGUCGCGAUGUUUGAACCAUUUGGUCAACUAGCUACUAUCUAAACUUGUGUUAUUGAUGCAUGCAUGUUAUGAACAUUUGGGACUUUCUAUAUAACUGUGUAUCUGUGUAUCUGGCUGUAA